This 253-nucleotide ribosomal RNA is filed under the name uncultured bacterium. Its description in RNAcentral is "partial 16S ribosomal RNA". It matches the Rfam family "Bacterial small subunit ribosomal RNA", at positions 524 to 776 of the family's 1533-position model. The record is from RNAcentral.
UACGUAGGGCGCAAGCGUUGUCCGGAAUUAUUGGGCGUAAAGAGCUCGUAGGCGGCUUGUCACGUCGGGUGUGAAAGCCCGGGGCUCAACCCUGGAAUGCCGGUGGAUACUGUCGAGCUCGAGUCCGGAAGAGGCGAGUGGAAUUCCUGGUGUAGCGGUGAAAUGCGCAGAUAUCAGGAGGAACACCGGUGGCGAAGGCGGGUCUCUGGGCAACAACUGACGCUGAGGAGCGAAAGCGUGGGGAGCGAACAGG